ACAAAGAAAGCUACACAGCAAUUCGGUUUCGACCCGUAUCAAGAACUCAAAAGUUCUCUUUGUUC
RNAcentral lists this transfer RNA (65 nucleotides) under Sinosolenaia oleivora. RNAcentral describes it as "tRNA-Arg". The record is from RNAcentral. Lineage: Eukaryota; Metazoa; Mollusca; Bivalvia; Unionida; Unionidae.